GAUGAACGCUGGCGGCGUGCCUAAUACAUGCAAGUCGAGCGAACAGAUAAGGAGCUUGCUCCUUUGACGUUAGCGGCGGACGGGUGAGUAACACGUGGAUAACCUACCUAUAAGACUGGGAUAACCUCGGGAAACCGGAGCUAAUACCGGAUAACAUAUUGAACCGCAUGGUUCAAUAGUGAAAGGCGGCUUUGCUGUCACUUAUAGAUGGAUCCGCGCCGUAUUAGCUAGUUGGUAAGGUAACGGCUUACCAAGGCAACGAUACGUAGCCGACCUGAGAGGGUGAUCGGCCACACUGGAACUGAGACACGGUCCAGACUCCUACGGGAGGCAGCAGUAGGGAAUCUUCCGCAAUGGGCGAAAGCCUGACGGAGCAACGCCGCGUGAGUGAUGAAGGUCUUCGGAUCGUAAAACUCUGUUAUCAGGGAAGAACAAAUGUGUAAGUAACUGUGCACAUCUUGACGGUACCUGAUCAGAAAGCCACGGCUAACUACGUG
This 497-nucleotide ribosomal RNA is filed under the name uncultured bacterium. RNAcentral describes it as "partial 16S ribosomal RNA". It matches the Rfam family "Bacterial small subunit ribosomal RNA", at positions 28 to 507 of the family's 1533-position model. The record is from RNAcentral.